UGAACUGCCGAAGACAGUAGGUGCCGGAAGGCGUAAGAUGAAUAUCACCUACCGAGGAAAGAUAUCGUUAAUUGAUUUAACAAUCUACUCUCAGGUCUUAGGGCUAUGAGAGUUUUUUUAUAU
RNAcentral lists this small RNA (123 nucleotides) under uncultured Coprococcus sp. RNAcentral's name for it is "Ribosomal protein L10 leader". It matches the Rfam family "Ribosomal protein L10 leader", at positions 14 to 134 of the family's 138-position model. From Rfam's summary of the family: This family is a putative r-protein leader autoregulatory structure found in B. subtilis and other low-GC Gram-positive bacteria. It is located in the 5' untranslated regions of mRNAs encoding ribosomal proteins L10 and L12 (rplJ-rplL). The record is from RNAcentral. Lineage: Bacteria; Bacillati; Bacillota; Clostridia; Lachnospirales; Lachnospiraceae.